RNAcentral lists this ribosomal RNA (1435 nucleotides) under metagenome. Its description in RNAcentral is "bacterial LSU rRNA". It matches the Rfam family "Bacterial large subunit ribosomal RNA", at positions 1464 to 2925 of the family's 2925-position model. The record is from RNAcentral.
CUGUGGGGACGCAGAAGGAGAGCACGAGCCGGAAAUGGAAAAGCCGGUACAAGCGUAUAGCAGUCAUGCAGGCAAAACCGCAUGAAAAAUGUAAAGCGUUAUGUGGAUCGAACAUUAGUAGAGAAGCGUGUGAGCCAGCUGCCAAGAAAAGCCGCUAUUGCUUCAUAAGUACCCGUACCGUAAACCGACACAGGUGGAUGAGGAGAGAAUCCUAAGGCCGGCGGGAGAAGUGUUGUUAAGGAACUCGGCAAAAUGACUCCGUAACUUCGGGAGAAGGAGUGCCACAGAGAUGUGGCCGCAGAGAAAUGGCCCAAGCAACUGUUUAGCAAAAACACAGGUCUAUGCAAAACCGAAAGGUGAGGUAUAUGGGCUGACGCCUGCCCGGUGCUGGAAGGUUAAGAGGAGAGGUUAGAGCAAUCGAAGCUUUGAAUUUAAGCCCCAGUAAACGGCGGCCGUAACAAUAACGGUCCUAAGGUAGCGAAAUUCCUUGUCGGGUAAGUUCCGACCCGCACGAAAGGCGUAAUGAUUCGGGCACUGUCUCAACAACACACCCGGUGAAAUUGAAAUACCAGUGAAGAUGCUGGUUACCUGCGCCAGGACGGAAAGACCCCAUGGAGCUUUACUCCAGUUUGAUACUGGGAUUCGGUACUGUCUGUACAGGAUAGGUGGGAGGCUAGGAAAUGGUGACGCCAGUUGCCAUGGAGCCAACCUUGGGAUACCACCCUUACAGUACUGGGUUUCUAACCUGCAGCCGUGACCCGGCUGGGGGACAAUGUCUGACGGGGAGUUUGACUGGGGCGGUCGCCUCCGAAAGAGUAUCGGAGGCGCUCAAAGGUUCCCUCAGAACGGUUGGAAACCGUUCGAAGAGUGCAAAGGCAGAAGGGAGCUUGACUGCGACACCGACGGGUGGAGCAGAUACGAAAGUAGGACUUAGUGAUCCGGUGGUAUAAAGUGGGAUUGCCAUCGCUCAACGGAUAAAAGCUACCCUGGGAUAACAGGCUUAUCACUCCCAAGAGUUCACAUCGACGGAGUGGUUUGGCACCUGAUGUCGGCUCAUCGCAUCCUGGAGCUGUAGCAGGUUCCAAGGGUUGGGCUGUUCGCCCAUUAAAGCGGUACGCGAGCUGGGUUCAGAACGUCGUGAGACAGUUCGGUCCCUAUCCGGCGUGGGCGUAGGAUAUUUGAGAGGAGCUGUCCUUAGUACGAGAGGACCGGGAUGGACAAACCUCUGGUGUAUCUGUUGUUUUACCAAAGGCAUGGCAGAGUAGCCAAGUUUGGCAGGGAUAAACGCUGAAGGCAUCUAAGCGUGAAGCCCCCCUCAAGAUAAGAUAUCCCAUCUUCGGAGUAAGACCCCUUGAAGACUACAAGGUUGAUAGGCUUCAGGUGUAAGUGUGGUAACGCACUCAGCUGAGAAGUACUAAUAGGUCGAGGACUUAUC